AUUGAACGCUGGCGGCAUGCUUUACACAUGCAAGUCGAACGGUAACAGGCCGCAAGGUGCUGACGAGUGGCGAACGGGUGGGUAAUGCAUCGGAACGUGCCCAGCCGCGGGGGAUAACUACUCGAAAGAGUAGCUAAUACCGCAUACGAUCUAUGGAUGAAAGCGGGGGACCGUAAGGCCUCGCGCGAUUGGAGCGGCCGAUGUCAGAUUAGGUAGUUGGUGGGGUAAAGGCUCACCAAGCCAACGAUCUGUAGCUGGUCUGAGAGGACGACCAGCCACACUGGGACUGAGACACGGCCCAGACUCCUACGGGAGGCAGCAGUGGGGAAUUUUGGACAAUGGGCGCAAGCCUGAUCCAGCAAUGCCGCGUGCAGGAAGAAGGCCUUCGGGUUGUAAACUGCUUUUGUACGGAACGAAACGGCUCUGGUUAAUACCCGGGGCUAAUGACGGUACCGUAAGAAUAAGCACCGGCUAACUACGUG
This 482-nucleotide ribosomal RNA is filed under the name uncultured bacterium. RNAcentral describes it as "partial 16S ribosomal RNA". It matches the Rfam family "Bacterial small subunit ribosomal RNA", at positions 30 to 507 of the family's 1533-position model. The record is from RNAcentral.